AGCCGCCACGCAUUUGUGAAGUGGGCGCAGAGAAGUGACAAAAUUUACAUUACUGUUGAGUUGCCUGAUGCUAAGGACGUAAAGCUCAAGCUUGAACCUGAAGGAAAAUUCAGCUCUUCUGCCAUUAAAGAUGAUGCCCUUACGAGGUUGUCAUUGAAUUGUUUGAUAAAGGUCAAUGUGGAGGAGAGCACGUAUAGUAUUGGUGUGAGAAUUAUUCUGUGUUAUAAAGAAAGUAGAGCAGAAGUGGUGGAGCAGGUUGGUUAAGCAGGAAACAAAGCCUCCUGUGUUUCUCAAAGUUGACUGGGAUAAGUGGGCUGAUGAAGAUGAUGAG
Molecule: unclassified non-coding RNA, 331 nt
Filed under: Hevea brasiliensis (rubber tree)
Lineage: Eukaryota; Viridiplantae; Streptophyta; Magnoliopsida; Malpighiales; Euphorbiaceae
Source: RNAcentral